RNAcentral lists this ribosomal RNA (389 nucleotides) under uncultured bacterium. Its description in RNAcentral is "bacterial SSU rRNA". It matches the Rfam family "Bacterial small subunit ribosomal RNA", at positions 28 to 417 of the family's 1533-position model. The record is from RNAcentral.
GACGAACGCUGGCGGCGUGCUUAACACAUGCAAGUCGAGCGGUAAGGCCCUUUCGGGGGUACACGAGCGGCGAACGGGUGAGUAACACGUGGGUGACCUGCCCUUAGCUCUGGGAUAAGCCUGGGAAACUGGGUCUAAUACCGGAUAUGACUCCAUGACGCAUGUUGUGGGGUGGAAAGCCUUGUGCGGCUAGGGAUGGGCCCGCGGCCUAUCAGCUUGUUGGUGGGGUGAUGGCCUACCAAGGGCGACGACGGGUAGCCGGCCUGAGAGGGCGACCGGCCACACUGGGACUGAGAUACGGCCCAGACUCCUACGGGAGGCAGCAGUGGGGAAUCUUGCGCAAUGGGCGAAAGCCUGACGCAGCGACGCCGCGUGAGGGAUGACGGCCU